Molecule: ribosomal RNA, 397 nt
Filed under: uncultured bacterium
Lineage: Bacteria
Description: partial 16S ribosomal RNA
Rfam family: Bacterial small subunit ribosomal RNA
Source: RNAcentral
AUACGUAGGGGGCGAGCGUUGUCCGGAAUUACUGGGCGUAAAGGGUGCGUAGGUGGCACUUUAAGUUGGAUGUGAAAUCCCCGUGCUUAACAUGGGAGCUGCAUCCAAUACUGGAGAGCUAGAGUGCAGGAGAGGUAAGCGGAAUUCCUAGUGUAGCGGUGAAAUGCGUAGAUAUUAGGAGGAACACCAGUGGCGAAGGCGGCUUACUGGACUGUAACUGACACUGAGGCACGAAAGCGUGGGGAGCAAACAGGAUUAGAUACCCUGGUAGUCCACGCUGUAAACGAUGAAUACUAGGUGUAGGGGGUAUCACCUCCCUCUGUGCCGCGGCAAACGCAAUAAGUAUUCCGCCUGGGGAGUACGGCCGCAAGGUUGAGACUCAAAUGAAUUGACGGGG